CCCAAAGUUUACAAUAACACCAAUGAUGCA
Molecule: non-coding RNA, 30 nt
Filed under: Mus musculus (house mouse)
Lineage: Eukaryota; Metazoa; Chordata; Mammalia; Rodentia; Muridae
Source: RNAcentral